CAAAUUAUCCUCAUAAGUUAGACGAUAAGAGGAACCAUGUUGAAAAUUAUCUAAAAAAUAAUAAGUAAAAUGGUGUCACAAAAUCGGAGGCCCCGACUGUUUACUAAAAACACAAUUCAGAGCAAUAAUUAAUAUAAUAGUAUUCUGAAUGAUAUUUGCCCGAUGCCAUUAAUAUAAGAAAGGUAAUGGGAAACUGUUGCUGAUCGAAAGUCUGGUUAAUAGCGGUCUUAACGUGAGGAUCCAAAGGUAGCAUAAUAAUUUGGCCAUUAAAUGUGGUCCGGUAUCAAUAGUGUAACGAUGGUCUCACUGUCUCUACAACUUGCUCAGUGAAAUUGAAUUACCCGUGCAGAUGCGGGUUGCCUCCAGGUGGACGGGAAGACCCUAUGCAGCU
This 391-nucleotide ribosomal RNA is filed under the name Tyromyces chioneus. RNAcentral describes it as "LSU rRNA". It matches the Rfam family "Bacterial large subunit ribosomal RNA", at positions 1718 to 2100 of the family's 2925-position model. The record is from RNAcentral. Lineage: Eukaryota; Fungi; Basidiomycota; Agaricomycetes; Polyporales; Incrustoporiaceae.